This 82-nucleotide transfer RNA is filed under the name Camelus bactrianus (Bactrian camel). It matches the Rfam family "tRNA". From Rfam's summary of the family: Transfer RNA (tRNA) molecules are approximately 80 nucleotides in length. The record is from Rfam by way of RNAcentral. Lineage: Eukaryota; Metazoa; Chordata; Mammalia; Artiodactyla; Camelidae. RNAcentral also lists the same sequence under 2 other names.
GAGGGUAUAGCUCAGUGGUAGAGUGUGUGCUUAGCAUGCAUGAGGUCCUGAGUGGUCCUGGGUUCAAUCCCCAGUCCUUCCA